This 100-nucleotide signal recognition particle RNA is filed under the name Dialister invisus. RNAcentral describes it as "signal recognition particle sRNA small type". It matches the Rfam family "Bacterial small signal recognition particle RNA". From Rfam's summary of the family: The signal recognition particle (SRP) is a universally conserved ribonucleoprotein involved in the co-translational targeting of proteins to membranes. Archaeal SRP consists of a 7S RNA and homologues of the eukaryotic SRP19 and SRP54 proteins. The record is from RNAcentral. Lineage: Bacteria; Bacillati; Bacillota; Negativicutes; Veillonellales; Veillonellaceae.
GCUUGGGUCUCGCGCAAUGAGGCUCUGUGAAUCCCGUCAGGUCCGGAAGGAAGCAGCGGUAAGCGGCUCGCCUCAUGUGCCGUGAGGGCGCCUGAGGGCU